Molecule: long non-coding RNA, 361 nt
Filed under: Androctonus crassicauda
Lineage: Eukaryota; Metazoa; Arthropoda; Arachnida; Scorpiones; Buthidae
Source: RNAcentral
CUGCAUUGUACGAUGUCAAAUCUUUAGGAUAAACUACCGACUAAUUUAACCGGCCGAUUUUGGGCGGGUUAAAAUUUAUUCUACAGAUUAUCCAGCAAAACAAUAUGGCGGACUAUAGUAGCUCCGAAUCGGAAACUGAAAAUAAUCUUGAUUUAGAUUAUUUAGAUUUUAUUUAUCCAAAUCCAGAACGGAUAUUUUUGAAAAGAAUAUAUCCAUUUACUUUAUACAAUGAUGAUAAAUAUCAUGAGAGGUUUUGUUUACGAAAAUCAAUAGUUUUACAGCUACUGUCUGAGGUAAGUGAAACACAACAUGCAUUUUAUAAAUCAAAAGUCCAUUAUUUUAUUUUAAAUUUAUAGAGUAA